AGAUUUCAGCCGUCGGAUCGAGCGUGUAUGGCCCAGAUCGUCGAACAGAGGAUGGCGAUUUUUCAAAAAAACAUCCCAAACUUUGUCGAAAUCGAUCCAGCAGUCCAAAGGCCCUAGAAUUUUUUAAAAAAAAACCCCCGAACUUUGUCAAAAUCCAACCUCGAACAUAGGCUUGACAAUUUUUCAAAAAACAUCCCAAACUUUGUCGAAAUCGAACCAGUAGUCCAAAGGCCUCAUAGAAAAUUUUUCAAAAAACCCCCGAACUUUGUCAAAAUCCAACAUGCACUCUAGGUACAGAUAACCCCGGUAAUCUUUCAAACCCCCCCCCCAACAUUGUCGGAAUCGAACCCGCCAUCCAAGACCUCUCACACAAAAAUUUUAAAAAAACCCCAUACUUUAUCGGAAUACAACCUGCAGUCCACAGACCUCUCUCACACAAUUUCCUAAGAAAACCCUCUACCUUUAACGAAAUCACCUCGCCAUCCAACCCAUAAGUAAUAUAAAUAAAGAUGUAAAAAAAAUAAUUUAUUAACUAAUAAAUUGACUGCCACUUUGCAAAAUAGAAACAAAAACAUAGAAAAAUGAUAGAGGUACAA
RNAcentral lists this long non-coding RNA (596 nucleotides) under Setaria viridis. RNAcentral describes it as "long non-coding RNA (SVIR_LNC004990)". Lineage: Eukaryota; Viridiplantae; Streptophyta; Magnoliopsida; Poales; Poaceae. The record is from RNAcentral.